Molecule: long non-coding RNA, 446 nt
Filed under: Malus domestica (apple)
Lineage: Eukaryota; Viridiplantae; Streptophyta; Magnoliopsida; Rosales; Rosaceae
Description: long non-coding RNA (MDOM_LNC016771)
Source: RNAcentral
AGGUAGAGAUUGGAGAUUAAACGGAAAUGAGUAAGAAUGAUUAAACGGUUUAAUCAUUUAUUUAUGGCAAGGAUUAAUUAAUAUGUUAAUUAAUCAAACGAAUAAGUUCGUUUAAGACUUCGGGAUAGUUUUGGACCUUAAGGCCCAAUGGGCUUCGAAUGUCAAGCCCAUUAACUUAAGUUGUAUGACAAUUUAAUGAAUAAAGAUUCAUUAAAGCCCAAAAGCCCAAAAUCCCCUAAAUGGCCGUCCAUGAUGAAAUGAAUUAGGGUUUUGGUUGUUUAGGUCACUUAAAGAAGUGACUAUAUAAAUGAUUUUAUAGCCAAAUAUUCAUUAAGGAUUAAAAGGGUUUAUUUUUGGGGAAAAUUGGUGAGAAUUGUCUCUCCAUUUCUCUCUAAAGAGGCCAACACCUUGGAGGGUACAUCUAGCAAUCCUAACAACUCCAAGGU